CCUACGGGAGGCUGCAGUCGAGAAUCAUUCACAAUGGGGGAAACCCUGAUGGUGCGACGCCGCGUGGGGGAAUGAAGGUCUUCGGAUUGUAAACCCCUGUCAUGUGGGAGCAAAUUAAAAAGAUAGUACCACAAGAGGAAGAGCCGGCUAACUCUGUGCCAGCAGCCGCGGGAAUACAGCGGUCUCAAGCGUUGUUCGGAAUCACUGGGCGUAAAGCGUGCGUAGGCUGUUUCGUAAGUCGUGUGUGAAAGGCGCGGGCUCAACCCGCGGACGGCACAUGAUACUGCGAGACUAGAGUAAUGGAGGGGGAACCGGAAUUCGCGGUGUAGCAGUGAAAUGCGUAGAUAUCGAGAGGAACACUCGUGGCGAAGGCGGGUUCCUGGACAUUAACUGACGCUGAGGCACGAAGGCCAGGGGAGCGAAAGGGAUUAGAUACCCCUGUAGUC
This 446-nucleotide ribosomal RNA is filed under the name uncultured bacterium. RNAcentral describes it as "partial 16S ribosomal RNA". It matches the Rfam family "Bacterial small subunit ribosomal RNA", at positions 338 to 795 of the family's 1533-position model. The record is from RNAcentral.